RNAcentral lists this ribosomal RNA (3180 nucleotides) under Triticum aestivum (bread wheat). Its description in RNAcentral is "partial small subunit ribosomal RNA". Lineage: Eukaryota; Viridiplantae; Streptophyta; Magnoliopsida; Poales; Poaceae. The record is from RNAcentral.
AUCGCGAGGGGAGGGAGCCCGAACGAAACGACCAAAGCAAAGCGAAAGAGAAGAGAAAUCGGCCGGUCUUCCCUCGCUGGACUAACUAGCGAGUAGAGAGAGAGAGAGAGCAUCAGAGCAGGCGAAUCACAUCGCAGAGCCAAGGCAGCAGCCUCAUCGCCGCCGGUGGUUCGCUUCCUGCCGCCCCACCAAGCCCCGAAUCAAAGCCGGGGCUGCGCCUCCCUCCCUGCUAUUGGUGUUGGUUUAUCGCGCGGCUGGCCGGGGGCGCUGUCGUGUGCUGCGGAGAGGAGGACCGGAGGGGGCGGAGCAUGGACGGAUCCGCCGCGGCGGAGCUGGAGAGGGCGGAGAGGGUGGUGAGGCGGUGGAACUCCACGGCGUCCGCGCCCGCGGGCGGCGGGGGCGGGGGCGGGGGCGGGGAGGACCAGAUGCUGUUCGACGGCGGCGGGGACCGGGCGGAGGCCGAGCGCUUCCUCCAGGCGGUGGACGACCUCCGCCGCCUCGCGCCGCCGUCCCCCGGCAGCCCGCGCCGCACCUCCUCGGCGGGGGCCUCCGGCGCCGUCCAGGUCGCCAUGGCGCGGCUCGAGGACGAGUUCCGCCACGUGCUGGCGUCGCGCGCGGUCGACCUCGAGAUCGAGGUGCUCGCCGACCUCAGCUCUCUCUCCAUGUGUAGCGACCGCUCCAGCUUCUCCGACGUCGGCGACGCGCCGCCGGUGGACGACGACUCCGUCGAGUCCUCCGUCGGCCGCCGCAGCAGCUACCGCUCCAUGCGCAGCAUCCGCGAGAUCGACCUCCUCCCGCCCGAAGCCGUCACCGACCUCAACGCCAUCGCCUCCCGCAUGGCCGCCGCCGGCUACGACCGCGAGUGCGUCCAGGUCUACGCCUCCGUCCGCAAGCCGGCCGUCGACUCCGCCCUGCGCCGCCUCGGCGUCGAGAAGCUCACCAUCGGCGACGUCCAGCGGCUCGAGUGGGACGCCGUCGAGGUCAAGAUCCGCCGCUGGAUCCGCGCAGCCCGCGCCGCCGUCCGCGGCGUUUUCGCCAGCGAGCGCCGCCUUUGCUUCCUCAUCUUCCACGACCUUCCCGUCUCCAACCCCACCAUCGCCACCCCCGCUCCCACCACCACGUCCGCCGCCCCCUUCGUCGAAACUGUCAAGGGCGCCGCGCUGCAGCUCUUUGGCUUUGCCGAGGCCAUCAGCAUCGGCCGCCGCUCACCGGAGAAGCUCUUCAAGAUCAUUGAUCUGCACGAUGCACUGGCCGAUCUGCUUCCUGAUGUCUCCGAUAUCUUCGCCGCCUCCAAGGCCGCGGAAUCCAUAUAUGUGCAGGCUACCGAGAUCAGGGCGCGUCUGGCUGAUGCUGUCCGUGGGAUACUCUCCGAGUUCGAGAGCGCCGUUCUCCGUGACCCGUCCAAGACUCCAGUACCCGGCGGCACCAUCCAUCCCCUCACUCGCUAUGUGAUGAAUUACAUUGUCCUCAUUUCAGACUACAAGACGACACUUUCUGAGCUGAUCGUGUCACGGCCAUCAGCUAGCUCGCGCGUUUCUGCUGAGGGCAAUGAGCUCAGACCGUCAUUUCCUGAUCUGGACCUUCCUGAUCCUGACAGCCAGCUACCCCUUUCUGCUCAUCUCAUCUGGACUAUUGUGGUUCUUGAACACAACCUUGAAGGCAAGGCAUCACUCUACAAGGACCCGGCACUCUCUCACUUGUUCCUAAUGAACAAUGUGCACUAUAUCGUGCACAAGGUAAAGGACUCGCCUGAGCUCUGGGGACUCAUUGGCGAUGUGUACCUAAAGCGGCUCACAGGUAAGUUCCGGUUGGCAGCCACAGCUUACCAGCGCAGUGCAUGGCUUAAGAUCCUGAAUUGUCUAAGAGACGAGGGUCUCCAUGUCAGCGGUGGCUUUUCAUCAGGAAUAUCCAAAUCAGCACUUCGGGAGCGCUUCAAGUCUUUCAAUGCUGCGUUCGAGGAGGCACAUAGGGCUCAGUCUGGGUGGUAUGUGCCUGACACACAGCUGAAAGAAGAGCUUAGGAUCUCAAUAGCAGAGAAGCUGCUCCCAGCAUACCGGUCCUUCCUUGGUCGAUUCCGGCAUCAUAUUGAGAAUGGGAGGCAUCCAGAGUUGUACAUCAAAUACACAGUUGAGGACCUUGAGAUAUCUGUGAUGGAUUUCUUUGAGGGGUCUCCACCUCCGCCGCAUAAUAGGAGGAGAUCCCAUGGAUGAGAGAUUGCUUGAAGCUUGCAGUAGUCGUAUCACUUGGUUGGGUGUUGUUGCCGAGCAUUCUUUAAUUCUUCGGUGAAGCCAGUGCAGGCAGUCGGGUAUGUAUUUUGUUUCACUCUCACGAGACUUAAGGGUGUAGUUGGUGAUGAUUUCUUCUACUAGAGGUAAUCUGAAACAGAAUCAGGAUCAUGUUGACGCUGUCAAAAGUCUUGGUGUUUCUUCCUCAGUUGGCGAUCUUGUGCAUUUGUUAAAGUGUUGUUGUAAUUUUGUGUAGCAGCAUGUUCAUAUAGGAAUGUUCUUUUAGUAAUGUCGCAUAGUUGUAAGUUGUAAUUUCCUGGUCUUCAUUUGACCUUUAGCUGGGUGUCCUGCCUUCCUCUUGGUUGAAUCAAAUAUAAAUACGAAGAUUGCACUUGAUAGAUUAGAUAUAAAAUCAGCUGUGCUACUUGUGUUGCAAUUUUAUAUUAUGUAGGAUAAAGUUCUUGCCUCAAGUUUCAGUUUUGAGGUUUCCACCCCAGGUCCCUUUUCCAGUGAAAUACCAGUAUCUAUCACUCCCCUGUCUUGAAUUCUUGAUAAAUAAACCCUAUGCUCUAGCAGAUGGCAGCGAAUUGAUCAAUGUAUCAUCUUGUUGCACUCGGCAGUAGACUAGAGUAUCAGAGCUUUGAUUUGGGCUGGUAUUUAGUUACAUAGAAAAGAAGGCCCUGUACCUGUUAACCAGUGGUGCAGCCAUAAUAUGCUCAUCAUGUCUUUGUCCCUAUUUAGUGGUUGAUAAGUUGCUUACUGUGUGGAUCUACUGGUGUGCUAACGAUUUCAUUAACGAUCAUAGAAAAGCAAAUAUAAGUACGAAGGUAACAGAAAGGAGGCUAGAAUAUUAAUAAUAAUAUUCAGAUUCUGCUAUAUCUGUUAAACCUUUCUAUCAUGUACAAUUUAACACACAAUUCAUCGUUCCUGGCUGUUACCUGCUAUCACAUAUUAC